This 529-nucleotide long non-coding RNA is filed under the name Ictidomys tridecemlineatus (thirteen-lined ground squirrel). Its description in RNAcentral is "lncRNA (ENSSTOG00000031500.1)". The record is from RNAcentral. Lineage: Eukaryota; Metazoa; Chordata; Mammalia; Rodentia; Sciuridae.
ACAAAGCUGCUGUGGAAAGAACUAAGGACAAAGAAAUUUCCCUUUGGCAGAGUAAGAGUCCAUGGAGCCCCAGAAGCUGCUGAGCAUUGUAUUUCUGUUGUGUUCACUGACUUGCUCCUUGUUGGCGACAGCAGCUUCCCCUCCUUCGCCAUUAUAUGAUUUUGGAAUUCAAGAAAACGCAGGACUGAAACCACGCUCAAGGGGAGACCAGAGGUCUUGGCUGAGCGACUUCUGGGAUUACCUGUGGGACCUCAUCAUGAGCUCCAUACCUCCAGCAGCCAUUUUUGCUUUUCUUAUCACCGUAGCACUAAUGGGGACCCUCUGUUGCCUAACUAAGGAUUGCAAAUAUCCUCUAUGCUCAUCUCUACACUAGCUUAUUACCUGAGGCAAUCAUCAUGGAAACCUGGAUAAUCUCCCAGUACUGUAGAGGCAGAGGACUGACUGGCACUAAGAAUACAAAAAUAUACAUACAAGGAAAUUUUAGUAUUGUUUAUAAUAUUGAAAAAAGUGGAGACAACUUAAAUGUCUG